Molecule: long non-coding RNA, 1218 nt
Organism: Gallus gallus (chicken)
Lineage: Eukaryota; Metazoa; Chordata; Aves; Galliformes; Phasianidae
Exons: 3
Source: RefSeq, a predicted model, not a curated record
GCGGCCCUGCGGGGUCCGCGGCCUGAGCGCGGCGAGGCCCGGGGGAGCGGGAAGGCCUCAGGGCUGCUGCAGGGCCCCGAGGCGUCGCCCCUCACGAGGGACAGAGCUCCACCGCUCUGCUGCUGCCCCAGGCCUGACCGUGAGACUACACAGCAGGUGCUGUGUGGCACGGCUGUGAGCCCAGCAGUACCGGGCCUCUGUGAAGGCGUCAAGGAAGGUGAUGGAGGCCUGUGCCGCUUCCCACCGUCUGCACAGCGGAUGUGUGGGGAAGGCCUGUCCCCAUCCCGCGGCGCUGGAGGAGCCCAGGCUGAGGGAUCCACAUUGGCAGGCACAGAGAUAGGAGCGGGGCUUUGCAGUGACACGGCCUGCAGGAGUGCAGUGCUCACCCCGUGACCAACAUGGCUGGUUUCCUUCGGGCCUCCCUUAUUGCACAGAGAAGCAUAUCGAUGCCAAGGAAUUUCCAUCUCUCUGUUGUGAAUCAUUAACCGGGAAAUCCUCCAGGUUAUUAGGAACAACAUCCCCCAGGGCUCGAUCUGCUGCUAUCUGCUCCUGAUCAAAGGAUGACAGAGGUGGUUUCUAGGCAGAAGACUGGCUUACGCAUCCUGUAAAACCAUCACAACCAUCACAGAGCCCUUCUCCUGGGUGCCCUGCAGACACUGCUGCCCACCAGCCACCAUCCGAAAGCUCGCAGAUAGCUGCUGGAAGCAGCAAGCUCACCCUGCGUGGUGAUCCUGCAGAUUAACUGACCUCACGAGGUUCAUUAUUGGCAGCGGGGCUCAGCUGAAAGGUGAAGUUACAUGAUUAAGAGGUUUGAGUCUCUAAUGCACACUCUGGAUCGAUGAAUUAUCUUAAUAGCUAUCUUGUGAAAAUGUGAUGAUAAGCUUGGCCACACAGUGAUAGCAGACUGACCUUUUCCUACCUAACUUUUUGUUAUGAAUCUCAUACAUUGUUUUUUACUAUGUGUGUGGAAGACACACAUUUCAAAUUCUUGAUUAACUUGGAUCAGUCUCAAGAUUCAGCAUUCAUUUCCCUGUAUCUUUUCGAAGUGCAAGGCAACCUGUUUGAUGUCAUCAGGAAAUAUGACCUACUGUCCAAAGGUUAUCCCAGCCUACUUAAUUGCAAGAUUGUAUGCAAUUAAAGUGAAUGACCCUUGCAAACAACUUGCUAGUUGUUUUAUAAUCUCUGAAGAGUUUGGUUCUCAAUACAGUUUUUAAACCA